Molecule: long non-coding RNA, 945 nt
Organism: Plodia interpunctella (Indianmeal moth)
Lineage: Eukaryota; Metazoa; Arthropoda; Insecta; Lepidoptera; Pyralidae
Exons: 2
Source: RefSeq, a predicted model, not a curated record
GAAAUAAUUGCAUAAAUCAGUAGAAUUCUUGCAUCUAAUAAUGUUUGACCACUAUGUUAUAAUAACACUGCUAAAAACAAAAAUAUUUAUUAGCCCGAAUCAUGUCCUUCCAACGCUUAGCUAUCGAAGAAAAAAUUCACUUCGUAUUCAUGCUGGUUCAGUGCCUAGGUUUUAUAGUUUUGUUGAUGAUCUGGUACCUGAUUCCAAGAUGGCGGACUCUGCAGCACUAUAUUGCACUAUGUCAAAUAUUUCUUGGAACCGUGCACUCAGCACUAGGCUUUGCUGAUUUUUUUGUCGAUGUUAAACUUCCUACAUAUUUUAUUGAUUACAUAAUCUUACACGUGUGUUGCUCAUUAUCAUCAGUGGUCAUAGCUCAUUUGAAACUCGUUUUUGUCAAUUUAGGAAGGAUUUACUGGGAAAAACUUAAAUCGACAGUAUUUAUAAUUGGAUUUUAUACGUUAAUUAAGAUCGUACAUAACAUUUCAUUUACGUUCAUUAGAAAUUAUCAUGUGUUUCGGUUCACAAAAGAAAUUAUAAGUGGAUUUAACAUUGGUAUAAUGAUAGUCCUUAAUUUAGUUAUGUAUGUGAAUAUAUCUAUCUCUGUCAUGUCGAGUACUAUGUCUAAGGUUAGUGCGAGACAGGUAGUAUCUUUGAUAGGUGUGGCAAUCAUGUGUGAUUUUACCUUAAUAAUAAAUUGGGCUGUGUUCAUGUAUCAACAUUUUUUGUGUUAUACCAAUGCGUAUAUGGUAAAUGUAUCUAAGGCAGACGACGAAUGCAACAAAAUGUACUCUAUUAUAGUAUACACAAGGUUGAGAAUGCUACCGCUGGUCAUAUUUGUCUUGUUUAAAAAAUCAACUAGGGUUGUUGUGAAGGAUUAUUAUAAGAAGAAAAUGAAUGUUUGGCGAGCGAGACAUUCUGAUUUAAAUUAAUUUAUAUUUAUUGUUU